AAACUCAAAUGAAUUGACGGGGCCCGCACAAGCAGCGGAGCGUGUGGUUUAAUUCGAUGCAACGCGAAGAACCUUACCUACCCUUGACAUCUACAGAAGCCGGAAGAGAUUCUGGUGUGCCUUCGGGAACUGUAAGACAGGUGCUGCAUGGCUGUCGUCAGCUCGUGUUGUGAAAUGUUGGGUUAAGUCCCGUAACGAGCGCAACCCUUGUCCUUAUUUGCCAGCGAGUAAUGUCGGGAACUCUAAGGAGACUGCCGGUGACAAACCGGAGGAAGGUGGGACGACGUCAAGUCAUCAUGGCCCUUACGGGUAGGGCUACACACGUGCUACAAUGGCCGGUACAAAGGGCUGCGAGCUCGCGAGAGUCAGCGAAUCCCUUAAAGCCGGUCUCAGUCCGGAUCGGAGUCUGCAACUCGACUCCGUGAAGUCGGAAUCGCUAGUAAUCGUGAAUCAGAAUGUCACGGUGAAUACGUUCCCGGGCCUU
Molecule: ribosomal RNA, 484 nt
Filed under: uncultured Halomonas sp.
Lineage: Bacteria; Pseudomonadati; Pseudomonadota; Gammaproteobacteria; Oceanospirillales; Halomonadaceae
Description: bacterial SSU rRNA
Rfam family: Bacterial small subunit ribosomal RNA
Source: RNAcentral